GGCACGGUGGCCAAGUGGUAAGGCGUCGGUCUUGUAAACCGAAGAUCACAGGUUCAAACCCUGUCCGUGCCU
This 72-nucleotide transfer RNA is filed under the name Albula goreensis. It matches the Rfam family "tRNA". From Rfam's summary of the family: Transfer RNA (tRNA) molecules are approximately 80 nucleotides in length. Their secondary structure includes four short double-helical elements and three loops (D, anti-codon, and T loops). The record is from Rfam by way of RNAcentral. Lineage: Eukaryota; Metazoa; Chordata; Actinopteri; Albuliformes; Albulidae.